GACGAACGCUGGCGGCGUGCCUAAUACAUGCAAGUCGAACGCUUCUUUCCUCCCGAGUGCUUGCACUCAAUUGGAAAGAGGAGUGGCGGACGGGUGAGUAACACGUGGGUAACCUACCCAUCAGAGGGGGAUGACACUUGGAAACAGGUGCUAAUACCGCAUAACAGUUUAUGCCGCAUGGCAUAAGAGUGAAAGGCGCUUUCGGGUGUCGCUGAUGGAUGGACCCGCGGUGCAUUAGCUAGUUGGUGAGGUAACGGCUCACCAAGACCGCGAUGCAUAGCCGACCUGAGAGGGUGAUCGGCCACACUGGGACUGAGACACGGCCCAGACUCCUACGGGAGGCAGCAGUAGGGAAUCUUCGGCAAUGGACGAAAGUCUGACCGAGCAACGCCGCGUGAGUGAAGAAGGUUUUCGGAUCGUAAAACUCUGUUGUUAGAGAAGAACAAGGACGUUAGUAACUGAACGUCCCCUGACGGUAUCUAACCAGAAAGCCACGGCUAACUACGUG
RNAcentral lists this ribosomal RNA (508 nucleotides) under uncultured bacterium. Its description in RNAcentral is "partial 16S ribosomal RNA". It matches the Rfam family "Bacterial small subunit ribosomal RNA", at positions 28 to 507 of the family's 1533-position model. The record is from RNAcentral.